GGUUAAGCGACUAAGCGUACACGGUGGAUGCCCUGGCAGUCAGAGGCGAUGAAGGACGUGCUAAUCUGCGAAAAGCGUCGGUAAGGUGAUAUGAACCGUUAUAACCGGCGAUGUCCGAAUGGGGAAACCCAGUGUGAUUCGUCACACUAUCGUUAACUGAAUACAUAGGUUAACGAGGCGAACCGGGGGAACUGAAACAUCUAAGUACCCCGAGGAAAAGAAAUCAACCGAGAUUCCCCCAGUAGCGGCGAGCGAACGGGGAGCAGCCCAGAGUCUGAAUCAGCUUGUGUGUUAGUGGAACGGUCUGGAAAGUCCGACGGUACAGGGUGAUAGUCCCGUACACCAAAAUGCACAGGUUGUGAACUCGAAGAGUAGGGCGGGACACGUGGUAUCCUGUCUGAAUAUGGGGGGACCAUCCUCCAAGGCUAAAUACUCCUGACUGACCGAUAGUGAACCAGUACCGUGAGGGAAAGGCGAAAAGAACCCCGGCGAGGGGAGUGAAAAAGAACCUGAAACCGUGUACGUACAAGCAGUGGGAGCACCUUCGGGUGUGACUGCGUACCUUUUGUAUAAUGGGUCAGCGACUUAUAUUCUGUAGCAAGGUUAACCGUAUAGGGGAGCCGCAGGGAAACCGAGUCUUAACUGGGCGUUAAGUUGCAGGGUAUAGACCCGAAACCCGGUGAUCUAGCCAUGGGCAGGUUGAAGGUUGGGUAACACUAACUGGAGGACCGAACCGACUAAUGUUGAAAAAUUAGCGGAUGACUUGUGGCUGGGGGUGAAAGGCCAAUCAAACCGGGAGAUAGCUGGUUCUCCCCGAAAGCUAUUUAGGUAGCGCCUCGUGAACUCAUCUUCGGGGGUAGAGCACUGUUUCGGCUAGGGGGUCAUCCCGACUUACCAACCCGAUGCAAACUACGAAUACCGAAGAAUGUUAUCACGGGAGACACACGGCGGGUGCUAACGUCCGUCGUGAAGAGGGAAACAACCCAGACCGCCAGCUAAGGUCCCAAAGUCAUGGUUAAGUGGGAAACGAUGUGGGAAGGCACAGACAGCCAGGAUGUUGGCUUAGAAGCAGCCAUCAUUUAAAGAAAGCGUAAUAGCUCACUGGUCGAGUCGGCCUGCGCGGAAGAUGUAACGGGGCUAAACCAUGCACCGAAGCUGCGGCAGCGACACUAUGUGUUGUUGGGUAGGGGAGCGUUCUGUAAGCCUGCGAAGGUGUGCUGUGAGGCAUGCUGGAGGUAUCAGAAGUGCGAAUGCUGACAUAAGUAACGAUAAAGCGGGUGAAAAGCCCGCUCGCCGGAAGACCAAGGGUUCCUGUCCAACGUUAAUCGGGGCAGGGUGAGUCGACCCCUAAGGCGAGGCCGAAAGGCGUAGUCGAUGGGAAACAGGUUAAUAUUCCUGUACUUGGUGUUACUGCGAAGGGGGGACGGAGAAGGCUAUGUUAGCCGGGCGACGGUUGUCCCG
This 1461-nucleotide ribosomal RNA is filed under the name Klebsiella pneumoniae. RNAcentral describes it as "partial 23S ribosomal RNA". It matches the Rfam family "Bacterial large subunit ribosomal RNA", at positions 1 to 1509 of the family's 2925-position model. Lineage: Bacteria; Pseudomonadati; Pseudomonadota; Gammaproteobacteria; Enterobacterales; Enterobacteriaceae. The record is from RNAcentral.